Podarcis lilfordi (Lilford's wall lizard) is the source of this 76-nucleotide non-coding RNA. NCBI's taxonomy places the organism in Eukaryota, Metazoa, Chordata, Lepidosauria, Squamata, Lacertidae. The record is from the annotation of a GenBank genome assembly.
AUCUUGGUAAAGCUCAGUUGGUUAGAGCUUGGUGCUGAUAAUGCCAAGGUUGCAGGUUCGAUCCCCGUAUGGGACA